Long non-coding RNA from Odocoileus virginianus texanus, 835 nucleotides. RefSeq lists it as uncharacterized. The record is from RefSeq and is a predicted model, not a curated record. Lineage: Eukaryota; Metazoa; Chordata; Mammalia; Artiodactyla; Cervidae.
GAUACCGGCAGCAGGAACCCCUUCUGAAGACCACCUGUUUUGCCCAUCUUCUGUCUUCCGGCAAGAUGCUCUUCAACUCAUCCAAGAGAGGUCUUUCACCUUAAACGUCUCUGAGGAAAGGCAUUCCCUAGCUUCUUGCUACUGACCAUGUUACCAAAUGCGGUUUGUGCGCAAUGCACAGUGAAGCCAAACCAACCAGAGCACCAGAGUCUGGAGCAGAGAAGAGUUUAUUGCAGGGCCAUGCCAGGAGAAGAGGUGGCUCAUGCACCACCACCGCCCCAAACUCUGAGCUCCCUGAAGGGUUUCAGCAAAGCAGUUUUAAAGGCAAGGUGAGAGAGUGGCAGCCCAGGCUAUGUGAUCCGUUCAUGCACAGACCUCUGAUUGAGCGAUGUUGAAAUCACAGGGCAAUUGGCACCAUUAACCCUUGGGGACCAGAACAUCUGGGGGCUACCUGCCCAUAAUCAUCAAGUAGUUACUUUCUUCCAUUUGGUGAUGGCUUUAGUGUCUGAAAAACAGCUCAGGAGGUUUUUCGGAGUCUUAAUUGUCAUGGAAGAAAGUUGAUGAAAGCACUUUUUAAAGACAUCAGUCCCUUGCAAAAUGAGCCCUGCAAGAAGAAAGAAAUGUAUGAAGAUGUUGAAUUAUUAAUGAUGACAUUUCAGGCACCUCUGAAAGGAAGAUUGGGAUUAGUGUGAACUUUGCCCACAUCCCUCCCAAUAACAUCAUGCUUGUAAGAUCAAUUAUGGCAGCCGGCUAUAAACUUCAGGAAACCAGCAUCUGACUCUCCUUAAUAGCUCCCUUGUUUUGGCCAACUAAUUAAAUGUCUCUUUGCCUUGUU